CAACUGGACAAUCAAUGUGUUUUGGAUAACGAUGACCUGCAUGAACAGCAUCCUCUAUGGUGUGAACUGCAGUGAACUGAUUUAGCCUCACCAGUCUCAGCUCAGGGAUGGAUCUGCUCAGCGUCCACUCCUGACUGUUGGCAAUAUUUACUGGAAAGACACAGGCAGAGACGAACAGUCAGGGAGGCAGAGACAGGAGGUGCUGUGGAGGAUGACCCCGCUGCCCCAGAGCUGCUCUUCGUGAAAAUGCC
Long non-coding RNA from Solea senegalensis (Senegalese sole), 251 nucleotides. RefSeq lists it as uncharacterized. The transcript is spliced from 3 exons. The record is from RefSeq and is a predicted model, not a curated record. NCBI's taxonomy places the organism in Eukaryota, Metazoa, Chordata, Actinopteri, Pleuronectiformes, Soleidae.